This is a long non-coding RNA of Sinocyclocheilus anshuiensis, 518 nucleotides long. RefSeq lists it as uncharacterized. The record is from RefSeq and is a predicted model, not a curated record. The transcript is spliced from 3 exons. NCBI's taxonomy places the organism in Eukaryota, Metazoa, Chordata, Actinopteri, Cypriniformes, Cyprinidae.
AAGCAUAGAGGACUGUGACUUAUUGCAAGUGUUUUGCUUCAGGAUACAUUGAUUCAUCAACUGGUGUCAUAUAGAUAACCAUCAUGUUUGUUUUUGAAGCAUUUCUGUUCAUUAGAAAAAACAAAGUCAUGAGUCCUUUUUCAUUUUCGAGUGGAGUAUCCCUUUAAGUAAAUAUUCUUUGUAUGUGUACUGUAUGUGGUUUUUUUGUUUUUGUUAUUUUACUUGCUCGGUUUUCAGAUGACUUCAAUUCAAAUGGGCAAAAUCAUACAUCAAAUAACAAUUUCCAGUUAAAUGUCCUCAUGAAACUGGAUAAAAUAAUUGCAAAACAGGAAGAGCAUUCUCUUUUGCUUCGGCGGCUACUGCAGACAAGAGAGGAAGACACGGGGCCAGAGAACCCUAUCCCAUCUAUUGGUCAGUUACCUGACUUGCUCUCCUUUGAGGAUAAGCUGAGGGUGGACGAAGAGCUCCAAAGAAAAACGGUUAAAUACCUUUCUACAAUUGGAGGACCAAACUAUGGA